GUGGGGGAUAUUGCACAAUGGGGGAAACCCUGAUGCAGCGACGCCGCGUGGAGGAAGAAGGUUUUCGGAUUGUAAACUCCUGUCGUAAGGGACGAUAAUGACGGUACCUUACAAGAAAGCCACGGCUAACUACGUGCCAGCAGCCGCGGUAAAACGUAGGUGGCAAGCGUUGUCCGGAAUUACUGGGUGUAAAGGGAGCGUAGACGGAGAGGCAAGUCUGAUGUGAAAACCCGGGGCUCAACCCCGGGAGUGCAUUGGAAACUGUUUAUCUAGAGUGCCGGAGGGGUAAGUGGAAUUCCUAGUGUAGCGGUGAAAUGCGUAGAUAUUAGGAGGAACACCAGUGGCGAAGGCGGCUUACUGGACGGUAACUGACGUUGAGGCUCGAAAGCGUGGGGAGCAAACAGGAUUAGAUACCCUAGUAGUCC
RNAcentral lists this ribosomal RNA (425 nucleotides) under uncultured bacterium. Its description in RNAcentral is "bacterial SSU rRNA". It matches the Rfam family "Bacterial small subunit ribosomal RNA", at positions 354 to 796 of the family's 1533-position model. The record is from RNAcentral.